GUCAGUUGGAAAGUUAAUUAAUUGCCAUAUAGUAGUGGCCAAAAGUGAUGUCCGGCCUAGGAAAUUUCACCCUUAAUUAAAA
This is a long non-coding RNA of Sinocyclocheilus grahami, 82 nucleotides long. RefSeq lists it as uncharacterized. The record is from RefSeq and is a predicted model, not a curated record. The transcript is spliced from 2 exons. Lineage: Eukaryota; Metazoa; Chordata; Actinopteri; Cypriniformes; Cyprinidae.